RNAcentral lists this long non-coding RNA (1391 nucleotides) under Anser brachyrhynchus (Pink-footed goose). RNAcentral describes it as "lncRNA (ENSABRG00000001030.1)". The record is from RNAcentral. Lineage: Eukaryota; Metazoa; Chordata; Aves; Anseriformes; Anatidae.
AUGGAUAUUACAUUAAGAUACUGAGGUUUACAUUGUUAGUGCACAGAUCUAAAAGGACUGAGCUUUUGUUGCUUAAAGAGAAAUGAGUUUCUCAAGGCACUCAACUCUCAAACUGCUAACAACAGAUCAGCCUUACAGUGCUCCUCAAGACUCAGUUCUGCAGCCCAUAGCUUAGAGUCAAGAAUGGGAAACCGGGGCAAUAAGGGAGCAAAAACAUUCUCCUUACUUUUUGUUUCUGGGUCAUCUUAAUUGAUCCCAGCAGACUUACCCAUUGUUGGUCUACCUCAAUCAACCCACCUACAUCCUCACCUGGAGGAACUUGUCUCUUUCCUAGCAGCUGAGGCAAUACCUUUGGGGAUGAAAAGGUUUCCUCUAUUACUCCAGGGAAUUUUUUAACCUCAUCAUUGCUGUGUACAUUGCUGGGUAGUCACCAUCAUGAACAAAUGACAAAUCAACGCUUACACCUCCCCAACUACCACAUGUUCGUUUAUACUGCUAGAAAUAUAAUGUUUCAGGUGUUUGCUUUUCUCCAGAGCACACCUUUACAAGCUGUUCAAGUGGCCUGUACAGUUCAAGGGAGCUUGCUGAGCAUUGCCAGCAAUAUUCAGCACCAGAGGGUAGGGAACUGAGCAGUGCAUCCUGCCACACACAAGGCAGCAGCUGUACUGGAUAGAGCACUCAGUCCUAGCUGUGUAACCACUAACUGCAGCCAGUAAGUAUUCCUCUAGCUUCCUUGGCACUUCUAACAUCUGAAGGUUUAAUGCUUACAUGUAAAGUGUUAAAUUUUUACAUUCUUCUGCUUCCCAUAGCCACACAGUUCACACGAGUCAUUUACGUUCACCUAGCUAAGAUGAAAAAAAAAAUUUAAUAUUGUUUUUAUCAGUUAUGAAGAUGCUAACAAACAGGGCUUAGGAUUUCUCAGAGGGAGGUAUCUGUGUUUGUGUUGUUUCUGUCUUCAGAUAAGCUUUUACAUUUUUGUGUAGAUAAGCUUUAACUUCUUUGUGUUUUUGAAGUCUAUUUAGUAUAGUGAGCUUGGUUUCGUGCUACUCCAGUUCAGGCAGCAAUCGUAUUGAAAAGAUGAAAGGCAGAAACAAUCAUAGCUUUUGAGUCAUCGUAGCUUUUAAAGUAGUAAUGUAGCCAGCUUCUUGCUUCACCAAGAUGACACUCAGAGCCAGUAAAAGCUUCAAGAAGAAAUGGAAGCCUAUCCCAAGCAUGGAACAGAACUGUGUUGUUCACUAAUGAUGCCUGCUUGCAACACUUAGCUUAUAAGUGGUUACUGAAACUGAAAGCUCCCAAUUCCACAUCUGAUGCAUUGACCCCCUGUGAAACAGUGAGUUAGUGAGUUCUGACAUGCAUUAGAAAGCUGAAAACUGAUUGCAUAUGACAAAUCU